This 73-nucleotide transfer RNA is filed under the name Camelus bactrianus (Bactrian camel). It matches the Rfam family "tRNA". Rfam says of the family: Transfer RNA (tRNA) molecules are approximately 80 nucleotides in length. Their secondary structure includes four short double-helical elements and three loops (D, anti-codon, and T loops). The record is from Rfam by way of RNAcentral. RNAcentral also lists the same sequence under 2 other names. Lineage: Eukaryota; Metazoa; Chordata; Mammalia; Artiodactyla; Camelidae.
GAGGGUAUCACUCAAUUGGUAGAGUGCAUGCUUAGCAUACAUGAGGUCCUAGGUUCAAUUGCCGGUGCCUCCA